Molecule: ribosomal RNA, 472 nt
Filed under: uncultured bacterium
Lineage: Bacteria
Description: bacterial SSU rRNA
Rfam family: Bacterial small subunit ribosomal RNA
Source: RNAcentral
GAUGAACGCUGGCGGCGUGCCUAACACAUGCAAGUCGAGCGAUUCUCUUCGGAGAAGAGCGGCGGACGGGUGAGUAACGCGUGGGUAACCUGCCCUGUACACACGGAUAACAUACCGAAAGGUAUGCUAAUACGAGAUAAUAUACUUUUAUCGCAUGGUAGAAGUAUCAAAGCUCCGGCGGUACAGGAUGGACCCGCGUCUGAUUAGCUAGUUGGUAAGGUAACGGCUUACCAAGGCGACGAUCAGUAGCCGACCUGAGAGGGUGAUCGGCCACAUUGGAACUGAGACACGGACCAGACUCCUACGGGAGGCAGCAGUGAGGAAUAUUGGUCAAUGGGCGCAAGCCUGAACCAGCCAUCCCGCGUGAAGGAAGAAUGCGCUACGCGUUGUAAACUUCUUUUCCAGGGGGAGAAUAAUCCUGUCGUGACAGGACUUGACGGUACUCUGGGAAUAAGCAUCGGCUAACUCCGUG